Molecule: small nucleolar RNA, 72 nt
Organism: Caenorhabditis elegans
Lineage: Eukaryota; Metazoa; Nematoda; Chromadorea; Rhabditida; Rhabditidae
Source: Ensembl
CGCCUCAAUGAAGAGAAACACCGAUCCAUCGUGUGACAAAUUGCUGAUAGAUUGUACGUCAGUCGUAGAGGU